This 253-nucleotide ribosomal RNA is filed under the name uncultured bacterium. Its description in RNAcentral is "partial 16S ribosomal RNA". It matches the Rfam family "Bacterial small subunit ribosomal RNA", at positions 524 to 776 of the family's 1533-position model. The record is from RNAcentral.
UACGAAGGGGGCGAGCGUUAUUCGGAAUCACUGGGCGUAAAGCGUGCGUAGGCUGUUUAGCAAGUUGGAAGUGAAAGCCCAGGGCUCAACCCUGGAAUUGCUUUCAAAACUGCAAAACUAGAGUCCGGGAGAGGAUAGCGGAAUUCCCAGUGUAGUAGUGAAAUACGUAGAUAUUGGGAGGAACACCAGUGGCGCAAGCGGCUAUCUGGACCGGUACUGACGCUGAGGCACGAAAGCGUGGGGAUCAAACAGG